Molecule: ribosomal RNA, 440 nt
Filed under: uncultured bacterium
Lineage: Bacteria
Description: partial 16S ribosomal RNA
Rfam family: Bacterial small subunit ribosomal RNA
Source: RNAcentral
CCUACGGGUGGCAGCAGUGGGGAAUAUUGCACAAUGGGGGAAACCCUGAUGCAGCGACGCCGCGUGAGUGAAGAAGUCAUUCGUUAUGUAAAGCUCUAUCAGCAGGGAAGAAAAUGACGGUACCUGAGUAGGAAGCCCCGGCUAACUACGUGCCAGCAGCCGCGGUAUUACGUAGGGGGCAAGCGUUAUCCGGAUUUACUGGGUGUAAAGGGAGCGUAGACGGCGGUGCAAGUCUGGAGUGAAAGGCGGGGGCUCAACCCCCGGACUGCACUUGAAACUGUACGGCUUGAGUGCAGGAGAGGUAAGUGGAAUUCCUAGUGUAGCGGUGAAAUGCGUAGAUAUUAGGAGGAACACCAGUGGCGAAGGCGGCUUACUGGACUGUAACUGACGUUGAGGCUCGAAAGCGUGGGGAGCAAACAGGAUUAGAUACCCGAGUAGUC